GACGAACGCUGGCGGCGUGCUUAACACAUGCAAGUCGUACGGUAAGGCCCUUUCGUGGGUACACGAGUGGCGAACGGGUGCGUAACACGUGAGUAACCUGCCCACAACUUUGGGAUAACGCUAGGAAACUGGUGCUAAUACUGGAUAUGUGCUCCUGCUGCAUGGUGGGGGUUGGAAAGCUCCGGCGGUUGUGGAUGGACUCGCGGCCUAUCAGCUUGUUGGUGGGGUAGUGGCCUACCAAGGCGGCGACGGGUAGCCGGCCUGAGAGGGUGACCGGCCACAUUGGGACUGAGAUACGGCCCAGACUCCUACGGGAGGCAGCAGUGGGGAAUAUUGCACAAUGGGCGCAAGCCUGAUGCAGCAACGCCGCGUGCGGGAUGACGGCCUUCGGGUUGUAAACCGCUUUCAGCAGGGACGAAGCUUUUUGUGACGGUACCUGCAGAAGAAGCACCGGCUAACUACGUG
Molecule: ribosomal RNA, 465 nt
Filed under: uncultured bacterium
Lineage: Bacteria
Description: partial 16S ribosomal RNA
Rfam family: Bacterial small subunit ribosomal RNA
Source: RNAcentral